Molecule: unclassified non-coding RNA, 350 nt
Filed under: soil metagenome
Description: partial contains 5.8S ribosomal RNA, internal transcribed spacer 2, and large subunit ribosomal RNA
Rfam family: 5.8S ribosomal RNA (bases 1-120)
Source: RNAcentral
GAUGAAGAACGUAGCGAACUGCGAUAAGUAAUGUGAAUUGCAGAAUUCAGUGAAUCAUCGAGUCUUUGAACGCACAUUGCGCCCCCUAGCAUUCCGGGGGGCAUGCCUGUCCGAGCGUCAUUGCUGCCCUUCAAGCCCGGCUUGUGUGUUGGGUCGUCGUCCCCCCCGGGGGACGGGCCCGAAAGGCAGCGGCGGCACCGCGUCCGGUCCUCGAGCGUAUGGGGCUUUGUCACCCGCUCGAUUAGGGCCGGCCGGGCGCCAGCCGGCGUCUCCAACCUUCUAUUUUACCAGGUUGACCUCGGAUCAGGUAGGGAUACCCGCUGAACUUAAGCAUAUCAAUAAGCGGAGGA